CAGUCGCCGCGGUAAAACGUAGGGUGCAAGCGUUAAUCGGAAUUACUGGGCGUAAAGCGUGCGCAGGCGGUUAUAUAAGACAGAUGUGAAAUCCCCGGGCUCAACCUGGGAACUGCAUUUGUGACUGUAUAGCUAGAGUACGGCAGAGGGGGAUGGAAUUCCGCGUGUAGCAGUGAAAUGCGUAGAUAUGCGGAGGAACACCGAUGGCGAAGGCAAUCCCCUGGGCCUGUACUGACGCUUAUGCACGAAAGCGUGGGGAGCAAACAGGAUUAGAUACCCCCGUAGUCCCUGUCUCUUAUAC
Molecule: ribosomal RNA, 301 nt
Filed under: uncultured bacterium
Lineage: Bacteria
Description: partial 16S ribosomal RNA
Rfam family: Bacterial small subunit ribosomal RNA
Source: RNAcentral